RNAcentral lists this non-coding RNA (110 nucleotides) under Mycobacterium triviale. RNAcentral's name for it is "TPP sequence". It matches the Rfam family "TPP riboswitch aptamer (THI element)". From Rfam's summary of the family: Vitamin B(1) in its active form thiamin pyrophosphate (TPP) is an essential coenzyme that is synthesised by coupling of pyrimidine and thiazole moieties in bacteria. The previously detected thiamin-regulatory element, thi box was extended, resulting in a new, highly conserved RNA secondary structure, the THI element, which is widely distributed in eubacteria and also occurs in some archaea. The record is from RNAcentral. Lineage: Bacteria; Bacillati; Actinomycetota; Actinomycetes; Mycobacteriales; Mycobacteriaceae.
CGCACACCGCACGGGAGCGUCCGCCGAGGGCGCUGAGAGGACGGCUGGUGCCGUCGACCGUCUGAACCUGACCGGGUAAUGCCGGCGUAGGGAGUUCAUCAUGACCGAAU